This 240-nucleotide unclassified non-coding RNA is filed under the name Hevea brasiliensis (rubber tree). The record is from RNAcentral. Lineage: Eukaryota; Viridiplantae; Streptophyta; Magnoliopsida; Malpighiales; Euphorbiaceae.
AUCUACUCUCAGUUUCUUGCAGCUCUUCUAAGCUUCUUCCAUAACCGGUUAUUUGAAGCAAUAUUCGAUUCCCACUAGUUGCCUUUUCAGAGAGAGAUUGAAUUAGAGAAGGCCACUGAAAGCCAUAUGAGACAUCGAAAUCGAUAACGUGCAAUGCUCGGUUAUUGCUUUCUUCUUCCUUCUCGAAUGCUUCGAGUAUAGCCUGGUUUGCGGUGAAAUGAGCUAGCUGACAGUAAGGAG